RNAcentral lists this transfer RNA (95 nucleotides) under Bacillota bacterium. Its description in RNAcentral is "tRNA-Ser". It matches the Rfam family "tRNA". Rfam says of the family: Transfer RNA (tRNA) molecules are approximately 80 nucleotides in length. Their secondary structure includes four short double-helical elements and three loops (D, anti-codon, and T loops). Lineage: Bacteria; Bacillati; Bacillota. The record is from RNAcentral.
GGAAGGGUGCGAGAGUGGCUGAAUCGAGCGGUUUGCUAAACCGUCGUAAGGAGCGAUACUCCUUACCGAGGGUUCGAAUCCCUCCCCUUCCGCCA